Molecule: non-coding RNA, 105 nt
Organism: Diaporthe helianthi
Lineage: Eukaryota; Fungi; Ascomycota; Sordariomycetes; Diaporthales; Diaporthaceae
Source: Rfam
ACCGGCCUCUUGUGAUGAUUUACAUAUCAUAGCAUAGUUCAUCUGACUUCAUGAUGACUACAUUGUACUCGUUAUUAGUCUUUCGCUCCCAUCUGACUGGCCACA